GUAUUCAUUUUAUGUUUUCUAUAACUUUUUUUGUUAUAGAGAAUUUAUAAAGAUAUGAAGUUUCCUAUAAUUAUUAUUAGGUACUUUGAAAACUAUAGCUUUUUAUAUUAUAGAAAUGUUUGAGUUUUUAUAUAUAACUAGUAGAAAAGUAUUCGAAUGAAACCUAGUUUCUCCUUAUGCUGAUUUAUACUUGUUGUUGUAUAGAAAUUAGUUUUUAUAAUAUAUAAGAGUUCAUAAACCAUAUAAAGUAUUUUAUCCUAGAUAAUUUUACUUUGAA
This 277-nucleotide unclassified non-coding RNA is filed under the name Rhizophydium brooksianum. RNAcentral's name for it is "partial internal transcribed spacer 2". Lineage: Eukaryota; Fungi; Chytridiomycota; Chytridiomycetes; Rhizophydiales; Rhizophydiaceae. The record is from RNAcentral.